RNAcentral lists this ribosomal RNA (253 nucleotides) under uncultured bacterium. RNAcentral's name for it is "partial 16S ribosomal RNA". It matches the Rfam family "Bacterial small subunit ribosomal RNA", at positions 524 to 776 of the family's 1533-position model. The record is from RNAcentral.
UACGUAGGGCGCAAGCGUUAUCCGGAAUUAUUGGGCGUAAAGAGCUCGUAGGCGGUUUGUCGCGUCUGCUGUGAAAACCCGAGGCUCAACCUCGGGCCUGCAGUGGGUACGGGCAGACUAGAGUGCGGUAGGGGAGAUUGGAAUUCCUGGUGUAGCGGUGGAAUGCGCAGAUAUCAGGAGGAACACCGAUGGCGAAGGCAGAUCUCUGGGCCGUAACUGACGCUGAGGAGCGAAAGCAUGGGGAGCGAACAGG